UACGUAGGGUGCGAGCGCUGUCCGGAAUUACUGGGCGUAAAGAGCUCGUAGGUGGUUUGUCGCGUUGUUCGUGAAAACUCACAGCUCAACUGUGGGCGUGCGGGCGAUACGGGCAGACUGGAGUACUGCAGGGGAGACUGGAAUUCCUGGUGUAGCGGUGGAAUGCGCAGAUAUCAGGAGGAACACCGGUGGCGAAGGCGGAUCUCUGGGCCAUUACUGACGCUGAGGAGCGAAAGCGUGGGGAGCGAACAGG
Molecule: ribosomal RNA, 253 nt
Filed under: uncultured bacterium
Lineage: Bacteria
Description: partial 16S ribosomal RNA
Rfam family: Bacterial small subunit ribosomal RNA
Source: RNAcentral